AAUUGGGAAACGCUGCUUUAGAGGAAUAUGUAAAAACACUUAAUUAGCCUCCUAUUCUCAAAUGUUCUUGACCACCGUGAAAUUGUUUUUGUCCCAUUCACUUGACUAAAAAUUUGUCUAGUGAAGCCUUGCAAUGACCUGAUCAUGCAAUAUGUACUCAUCCCUGCACAGUUUUCCAAAGGUCUCUGCUUCUCCCCCCACCUAUCUUCCAGUGUCUAUAGGUUUACUGAAAAUACCAUUCCUUGG
Pelobates cultripes (western spadefoot toad) is the source of this 246-nucleotide non-coding RNA. The record is from the annotation of a GenBank genome assembly. Lineage: Eukaryota; Metazoa; Chordata; Amphibia; Anura; Pelobatidae.